GACGAACGCUGGCGGCGUGCUUAACACAUGCAAGUCGAACGGAAAGGCCCUGCUUGCAGGGUACUCGAGUGGCGAACGGGUGAGUAACACGUGGGUGAUCUGCCCUGCACUUCGGGUUAAGCCUGUGAAACUGGGUCUAAUAACUGACAGGAGCUAUUUUUAGCGUGAUGGUUGGAAAGUUUUUUCGGUGUAUGCUGAGCUCGCGGCCUAUCAGCUUGUUGGGGGGGUAAUGGCCUACCAAGGCGGCUACGCGUAGCCGCCCUGAGGGGGUGGCCGGCGACAUUGGGACCGAGAGAAGGCACAGACACCGAAGCGAGGGAGCAGUGGGGAAGCUUGCCCAAUGGGCGCAAGGCGGAUGAAGCGAGGCCGCGUGGGGGAUGACGGCCUUAGGGGUGAAGAAUACUUUCGCUAGGGACGAAGCAUUUUGUGACGGUACCUAGACAGGAAGCACCGGCUAACUACGUG
Molecule: ribosomal RNA, 465 nt
Filed under: uncultured bacterium
Lineage: Bacteria
Description: partial 16S ribosomal RNA
Rfam family: Bacterial small subunit ribosomal RNA
Source: RNAcentral